CAGUCGCCGCGGGAAUACGAAGGGGGCUAGCGUUGUUCGGAUUUACUGGGCGUAAAGCGCACGUAGGCGGACUUUUAAGUCAGGGGUGAAAUCCCGGGGCUCAACCCCGGAACUGCCUUUGAUACUGGAAGUCUUGAGUAUGGUAGAGGUGAGUGGAAUUCCGAGUGUAGAGGUGAAAUUCGUAGAUAUUCGGAGGAACACCAGUGGCGAAGGCGGCUCACUGGACCAUUACUGACGCUGAGGUGCGAAAGCGUGGGGAGCAAACAGGAUUAGAGACCCGCGUAGUCCCUGUCUCUUAUAC
This 301-nucleotide ribosomal RNA is filed under the name uncultured bacterium. RNAcentral's name for it is "partial 16S ribosomal RNA". It matches the Rfam family "Bacterial small subunit ribosomal RNA", at positions 509 to 807 of the family's 1533-position model. The record is from RNAcentral.